Molecule: ribosomal RNA, 1168 nt
Filed under: Neomaskellia andropogonis
Lineage: Eukaryota; Metazoa; Arthropoda; Insecta; Hemiptera; Aleyrodidae
Description: large subunit ribosomal RNA
Source: RNAcentral
GAAAUUAGAAAUAAUUAAAAUUUUUUAUUGAUUUUAAAUAAUUAAAUCAAUAUAAUAAUAUAUUAAUAAUAUCUUUUAAAUAAAAAUAACAAAUAUAAAUUAUAGUAAAAAUAAAAUAAAAGUAAAUUUAAUUAAUUGUACCUUUUGUAUCAGGGUAAAUUAAAUUUUUUUUAUAAAAAUAAAUCUCGAAAAGUAAAGAAAUAAAUUAUUUAAAAUUUUAAUUUAUUACAAUAAAUUAAAAAAUAAUAAUUUAGAUUCAAAAUAAACUCAAUUUACUUAUUUCUAGUUACUAAAUAUUUUUUUUUAAAAAAAAAUUAUUAAUUAUAUACUAAUUAAUUUUUAAUUAAUAAUUUAAAAACUUAAAGUAUAAGCUAUAAGUUAUAAUAAAAUUUUAAAAUAUUAAUAAUUUAAAUAGCUUUAAAAUUUUGUAUAUAUAGAAUUUUUAAAAAAUCUUUUAACUUAUAAAAUAUUUAAUAAACAAAUUUAUUAAACAAUUUAAGUUAAAUUAUUUAACCUUAUAAUAAUUAAAAUUAUGAUUUAAUAAGUAUACUUAAUAAAAAUAUUAUAUAAAAACUAGGCCAAUUUAUUAAAUUUAACUGUUUAACAAAAACAUAACUUAAAGAAAAAAUUUUAAGCAAUUUCUGCUCAAUGAAAUAUUAAAUAGCUGCAAUAAAUUGAUUGUACUAAGGUAGCAUAAUAACUUGUUUCUUAAUUAGAAAAUAGAAUGAAAGAAAUAAUAUAAUUUAAUCUAUUUAAAAUAAUAAAAGUAAAAAUUAAUAAUAAAGUGAAAAAUCUUUAAUAAAAAUAAAAGACAAAAAGACCCUUUAGAAUUUAAUGAUUAUAACAUUUAAUUGGGGAGAUUGCAAAAUAAAAAAAACUUUUGUUUAAUAAAUACUUAUCAGUAAAAUUAAUCAACAAUUAAUUAAAACUAAACUAAAUUACCUAAGGGAUAACAGCACAAAUUUAUUUAAAAGACCAAAUUUUAAAUUUAUAAUUGUGACCUCGAUGUUGGAUUAAGAAUAUUUUAUAAAGCAAAAUUUAUAAUAAUAGGUCUGUUCGACCUUUAAUUUCUUACAUGAUCUGAGUUCAGACCGGCGUAAGCCAGGUCAGUUUAUAUCUUUAAAAAAUAUUUUAAUAGUACGAAAGGAAUUUAAAAUAUAAAUAUUUU